AUUGAACGCUGGCGGCAUGCCUUACACAUGCAAGUCGAACGGCAGCACGGGUGCUUGCACCUGGUGGCGAGUGGCUAACGGGUGAGUAAUACAUCGGAACAUGUCCUGUAGUGGGGGAUAGCCCGGCGAAAGCCGGAUUAAUACCGCAUACGAUCUACGGAUGAAAGCGGGGGACCUUCGGGCCUCGCGCUAUCGGGUUGGCCGAUGGCUGAUUAGCUAGUUGGUGGGGUAAAGGCCUACCAAGGCGACGAUCAGUAGCUGGUCUGAGAGGACGACCAGCCACACUGGGACUGAGACACGGCCCAGACUCCUACGGGAGGCAGCAGUGGGGAAUUUUGGACAAUGGGCGAAAGCCUGAUCCAGCAAUGCCGCGUGUGUGAAGAAGGCCUUCGGGUUGUAAAGCACUUUUGUCCGGAAAGAAAUCCUUGGCCCUAAUACGGUCGGGGGAUGACGGUACCGGAAGAAUAAGCACCGGCUAACUACGUG
This 486-nucleotide ribosomal RNA is filed under the name uncultured bacterium. RNAcentral's name for it is "partial 16S ribosomal RNA". It matches the Rfam family "Bacterial small subunit ribosomal RNA", at positions 30 to 507 of the family's 1533-position model. The record is from RNAcentral.